CACUGAGGAACUGUACUGGAAAUUUCUCUGUCUGCUCCGCUUGUUACGGGCUCAUCUACAGUCUCCUGCACUUUGGCCUGGUUGGCAGAUGGGUCUCCUGUUGCUGCGUGACAAAUCAAAUAUAUACAAAGAUUUACAAAGGCGAGGGCCUCAUGCCUCUCUCCACGAACAUCCACAGGACGUGCGCUGAUUCUCCUGCCCAGGGCUGGGAACGGCACGGCAGAAACGCUGCCUGAGCUCUGACCCCUGGCGCUCCCGGCAUCCACCCCGAUUUUCCAUCUGGUCUCCAUUAUCUCACUUCGGUGCCUUCACAGACUUUGCUGGAAAUGAGAGCAGUCAGUGUUCCUCUGCCCGUCUUCGGUGCUGGCCGAGGCGUGCCUCCUGCCACAGGGAGGAGAGCCCCCGCGGGUCCGGUCCACACAGCCCUCGCUCGCCCCUGCCCUGAGCCACCCGGCCUCUGUUCCUCCCUGGAAAGGCUCUGGAAUUCCUGAUUCCACAUCAUCUGUGCAUGUCAGGCCCAGUACACUGUUCCAGCCAGCUGUCUCCAACCCCCCGGGGUCCCCUCCUGUCUGUGGCCGGGGCUCCCCUGACCCGUGGCUGCUGCUUCCUCGGGUUGCAGGCUCCAGAGGAAAGCAGACGAGCCGGGUCUGGACCUGCCGGGUGGUGAGAGCCAGCGGGACCCGGGGGGAGGCCGUCUGCAGGGGGGAAGUGAGGCGGCACGGGGCUCCCGCACCCCCUGCAUUAUGUGGUCUCUUCUGUGUGGGCUGGAGGCUCUGCCCUGAGGUCCACGGGCAGAGUUCAGCCGCCCAAGAAGGUGGAUGGGAACGACUGCGUCUCUGUUUUCACUAACUUCUAACUACAAGUCAGAUUUCCUUCCUCUGAAUGUGGGUAACACAGCACGGUGGCGGCAGUGCACCAGGGGCCCCGUGGACAGCAGGAGCCUCGUCCCGGACACUGUUUAAGCUCAUCGCUAUGUAAAAUCACGGUGCCUGUUAGGCCCGCCACUGGGGCUUAUUGCCCGUGAAUAAAGAGGCAUCCAUACUGCGA
Molecule: long non-coding RNA, 1047 nt
Organism: Neofelis nebulosa (Clouded leopard)
Lineage: Eukaryota; Metazoa; Chordata; Mammalia; Carnivora; Felidae
Exons: 2
Source: RefSeq, a predicted model, not a curated record